UCUGGAGAUCUCACCAUCAUCAGGAAUGUGUUAUGCACAAAGAGCAGGACUCUGCAUUCAUCAAUUGGAUGAUCUUGGAAUAAAGCUGUUCAUGUCUGUCUAUGUACAGUUCCAGUCCAUCAUCAAUCUAUUUUAUCCUUUUGUCUGUCCUCGUUUUUCAGCCAUUAAUUCUUUAGGGCAGUGACUGUUUUUGCUAGAAGUUUAUUUAGCCUCUAACCACAAUCUGGAGUCAAUAUGCAGUAGUGUAAUAUGACUAAUUAAUAAUCAGGUCAGACUGAUUUUGUGAUGUUUCACCUCGGGGAUGUGAAAUCCUGUUUGUCUGCCUCACAUACUGGUGAGCAAAAAUUGCACCUACCAAAGCCUCAGUUCCAUUCCCUGUCUAUAAAACAGCAUGAACUCCCUGGUAGGGAGUUGUCAGAGUUGAUCCAUUCUUUGUACAGUACGGAGAUACAAAUGGCUAGCAAGAUACAUGUUAUUGCAGCUACUUUAGUUCGUUUGCUUUGUUUUUGAACAAGUGAUCAGGCAAACUAUGUCUAUUUGCUGGCUCUUUAAAAUCUGUCACCAUAUUCCUUGCUUGAACUGUAAUUGCUACAAAGCACAAAGUCACGCUAUCACAGAUUGUCUCAAAGCUUAAGCCAAGCAAGCACUCAUAAAAAGGUAUUAAUGGAGACACUGCUCUGCCACUUGACUUCAAUACGUCGACUACACUGAUGGCAAUGCCUUUGCCAUGAAAAUAGAUCCUACGUAGGAUCAAUUGGUGCUGUCCCUGCUGCCACACUUGGUAUUUGUGUUACUGAAGGAAGCUGUGAGAUGCUUGUGGGCUCUGCUGCCUCAGCUAUUUCCACAGUAUACUCCAGUUGCUUUGAUUUAUUUGUUGGAAAAAGCUGGAUUCUCUGUGGAAAAUGUCUGUGAGUAAUCCACGCUGAUAUGCUUGCAAGUGGUUCAGCAAGAGACUGGAAAUGAGAGUUCAGGCCAGUGUUCUCCCAGGAUUGUUUGUGGCUGGUUGUAGAUGAGUGAAAUGGGAAGAUUUAAGGCUGCUUUGCUGCUAAGCUUGGUUUCACUGCCAAGUGUCUACUAAUGCUUAGAGAGCAUAGAUUGGACUGGAAAGAAAAAUUCCUUUCCUGACUGGUGCACCCCCUGGUGCACAUCGCUAUCUGAGAUGGAGAGGUUUUUAUUUGUUUGUAUCAGCACAGUGCCCCUGUCAUGAACCUCUCUGAGAGCUCACAGACCUGCUCCAAACAUAGAUUCCAGCACUUGGAGGUUCAUAUCCAGCUGGAGCCCUGACAGAGGCAGAGAAAAGCAUAGUGCCACGACCUGAUCUAUAUUUGAAGCUGAAGAAAGCACAGUCGGUGCAGUAAAGCUUAAAGCCCAGCAUGAGCCCUGAGAGUCUUAGUUUGCAUUCCCAAAAUGGUCACAGACCCUCCCUGGGAACUGAGGCAGGUGUGCUAAUCACAAACAUGGUUUGAACCUAUGGGAACUUGCUUGUGGUUCCCCAAGAUGUGAUGAAAAGGAAACUCUUGGUUUCAGGAAAAGCUUAUUAUGUUCUUCAGUCACCCCCACCUCUGGGCCAACCCUUUCAUGUCUCCCCUUAGUCAUUAAUAAUGCUAAUUUUGCCCAAUAUUCCCAGGCUUCUGCUAACUAAAUGGACAGGACCUCAGAUCCUAGUUCUCUUACAACUCGUGAAGAGCAGCUCAGAAGAAAGGGAAAAAAAAAAGUGAAAUGCAGUGUAGAAGAAGCAGUUUCUUAUUGAAUCACACAGUGAACAGCUUCCAGAGCCAGGCAAGUGUCAUGCUGCAUUGUCUUGGGCUGCCCAGCCACCAGUGGGUAUAAAAUAAUUACUCUGUAUGUCCUCUUUUUAGGGUACAACAGAUAUAGUGAUGCUUGAACAGGAGAUCAGUGCAAGUGAGCAUUAGUUAAGGAGCUGAAUGGGCUUGAGAGUCAUGGACCAUAAUAGAUGGCAGUGAAAUGUAAGCAAUACUAAUGGUACGAGAAGCAAGUCUUCCAGAUGGAGAGUCUGCAAGGGUCAGAACCAGGUGGCUGAAUUCUCACAGGUGAAGUUUUGCGUUAUUUGAUGCUGAAAUAGUACUGGCACAAACUGUGUGUAGCGGGACUCUGAAGUAAAUGUCACUCCGAAAAGAUGGCAUUAGGAUUAUGGGGGCAAUCAGUGUUUUUUAUUGAGCAUAGCAGGAAGAAAAUGAAAGCUGUAAAAUGCCACUGUGGGUAAACAUUAUUUGCAUAUCUAGAAUAUGAACUUCUGUCCCUUCUUAAGUUCAUGGCAAUGACCGAGGUUUUAUCCUUACCUGCACAUCAUGAGUUUAAGCUGGUUAAAGAGAAACUAACAAGACUGGAGAAUUAAAAUGAGAGUAAGUGUUUUUCCAAAACUGCUCUGUAGCAAACAGCCCAGCACAGAGGAAGCUGCUGUGAAGCCACUGUGACUGGAAAAGGACAAUUGCUGAUAUGAGCUGCAGGGAGUGGAAUCCAGCAGAAAAGAUCUCCUGGGGAUGGCUCUCCUUAGGGACACUGCUGCCCAGCCCCCUUUGAAGGAACCUGCAAAGAUCUGAAUUUCUGCUUACAGUUUCCUUCCCUGGAGGGCAGUUACAGUGAAAGCAGUGUGCACAGACUAUUCCUAUUUGUAAUGCAGCUACUGGUGUUUGGUUCCCACAACCCAGUGUGUCUGAACAGCACAGCAAUAAUAUCAUAUGCAUAGCUUAGCCCUUGAGAGUAGUUGCUGAGACCCUGGAGAGCCAUUCAGGGAUGGAAGAGUUCAUUUUGAAGCUUUGCAAGGGGACUCAUAAUACCAGUAAUAAAUAACACACCGGUCCACGUUCCAGGUUCUCCCCUUCACCUGGGAUUAAGACAGUGCUUUCUGAGCAAUUAAAAGAGGGUCUGAAAAGUCAUGCAGGGACAGACAUUCAGUUACUGUGUUCCGAAGGUGUUUAGCAGCAGGUUUAUGUAGUGCUUUUGCAAAUAGACAAACAGGAUCCAGAGGAAGUGAGGUUUCUGCAUACCAGUGCCCAGUCUCCAAAGGAAGGUGGCAUUCAGUGUGUCACCAUCCCUCCAAGGGCAGGACCCUCCCGUGCUGGGCACAUUCCAAGAAUUUUUUUUGUAAUGGAGGAGCACAACAAGGGCUGUAGUAAAGAUACUUGGAAUCAAACAGGUUUUGAGCACGAAUUUGGUGUUUGCUGUGUUGAAACAGCGAGACUGUUUCAACGAGGACGGCUGUGGUACUUCCUCCUCAUUGCUUGACCUGAUUUUUUGUGUGUAUCCUGCAGGUUUCACUUUGUCACAGCUAGGGCACCCUUUAACCCAUUAGAGGCUGCAUGGGUCUGCCUGUGAAAGGAGAAUGGGAAUUGGAGGUUAAAGAUGGCUCCAAGGUCCCAUGGGAUUUGGAACAUGAUGGGCUUCUAUAUUCAGGAUGGCUGUGUUGCAUUAACUCAAGCCUCCUCAGUCCGUUCAGUUGGAACUCAAAUGUCCUGUUUUUGCAUAAAGCUGAACAGCUUUGAUCUCUGGUGUAAGAGCGAAUUUCUGUGCCCUGUCAGAGUUUGGCAAGGAGCAGAAUCACUUCUCCAUAUCAUUACUGUAAAGAAUUGAUAGAGAGCAAACUUCUGAGUUACACUCCUGGAGCAGACAUUUAGCAAGGCUGUGUUGUUAGGGGCAAGAAGCUGUGAAGGCUUUACCCAGGAAGUGCUGGCUGUGAAUGAGGCAAUCUCGGGUUGUUUGAAUUGCAGACGGCAUCGCUGCCUGUCCUCUUUCACCCUGGGCUUUCCACUGCUGAUGUUGGCCUGGAAACAAAACGACACUUGCUAUGGAUUUCUCUGGGGAAGUUGCUGAUCCCUCAGCACAAGUGAGGCAACCCGCACCCUGCGAGCCCCAUGUGGCUUCAUGCACUUGUGGAAAAACUGCAGCUUUCACUUAGAAGUACUGCUGGAAAGGGUGCUUGGCUUUGCAUCAUAUGAGGUGCUUAGUAAGUAAAAUCAUAAAUUAAAAAAUUCUUCAAAAUGCUGUCCUCACUGCCUGGCCCUCUGCUCAGCCAAAGUCCUUCCUUUUUAACUUCUCUGCACUUAAUAGUUUAUUUUUAUUUUUCAGUCUUGUGGUGACUUUUUUUUUGUUUUCUAAUGAAAGGUGUAAGAUAUAACUCACCAUUUAUAGAGAGCUCACACACCUGCAUUGUUGCAGGAUGCAGGUAAUUUAGGCACUGGUUUUACAUUCCAGAAUAAUUUACGUUUAUUACCUGGCAGUGACCCCAGAUCUUGGAAAACCCAGGUUUGUUGAUCUGCAGUUUACGAUCUUGCCGUAAUUUUUUGUUUUAUUUCCCAAGCACUUUGCCGACUUACUGAGGUCUCCAGCAUAGAAAUAGUUUUCUCUGGAGUUUUGCUCUCUGCUUUACUUUCCCUUCUCUUCCGGAAAAACGCCCACAACAAUAGAGGGAAAACCUCACCUUGCAGCAUGCACCUCCAUAACUUCAGAGCUCAUCUGGAUCUUUGAUGUGCUAAUGCUCAGCACAGAGAUGCAGGCAAUGAAUAUUUGGGCAGAGUGACACUUCACCUCCUGCACACCGUAUUGCCCUCAAAAACGGUGUUUCCUUCACCCAGCUCGUGCAGGCAGCAUGCAGCUCAGACUGUCAGUGGAAGCACCACUUUGAAGAGGACUUUUGUACCAGCCGUGUGGUUUGCAGGUUAUAUUAUGCCUUGGGAAUCCUUCCUCGGAGCCAAGAUCAGAGCAAGUUGUGUCUUGUCCUGCAGAGCAGUUCAGAAGUGCCAGUGGAGACUUAAGAAGCAGUGGGGCCUCAAUUCAGAAAGCUGUGCCAGUUCUGCUGGGCUGAUGGCUCAUACGAGGCAGUCAUACACAGCCCCACAGAAUCAUUAAGGUUCAAAAAGACCUCUAGGAUGAUCCAGUCCAACCAUCUGCCUAAGACCAAUUUUGCCCACCAGACCACGUCCCUAAAUAGUGCAUCUCCACGGAUCUGUCACUGGUCAUUCCCCCUGGCCAAUGCAAGCAGUUC
RNAcentral lists this long non-coding RNA (5002 nucleotides) under Gallus gallus (chicken). RNAcentral's name for it is "lncRNA (ENSGALG00010029885.1)". Lineage: Eukaryota; Metazoa; Chordata; Aves; Galliformes; Phasianidae. The record is from RNAcentral.